RNAcentral lists this non-coding RNA (148 nucleotides) under Chlorocebus sabaeus (green monkey). The record is from Rfam by way of RNAcentral. Lineage: Eukaryota; Metazoa; Chordata; Mammalia; Primates; Cercopithecidae.
GCUGGGCGUAGUGGUGGGUGCCUGUAAUCCCAGCUACUCAGGAGGCUGAGGCAGGAGAAUUGCUUGAACCCAGGAGGUGGAGGUUGCAGUGAGCCGAGAUUGCGCCACUGCACUCCAGCCUGGGCGACAGAGCAAGACUCUGUCUCAA